Molecule: ribosomal RNA, 464 nt
Filed under: uncultured bacterium
Lineage: Bacteria
Description: partial 16S ribosomal RNA
Rfam family: Bacterial small subunit ribosomal RNA
Source: RNAcentral
CUACGGGUCGCAGCAGUGGGGAAUAUUGCACAAUGGGCGCAAGCCUGAUGCAGCCAUGCCGCGUGUAUGAAGAAGGCCUUCGGGUUGUAAAGUACUUUCAGCUGGGAGGAAGGGAGUAAAGUUAAUACCUUUGCUCAUUGACGUUACCCGCAGAAGAAGCACCGGCUAACUCCGUGCCAGCAGCCGCGGUAAUACGGAGGGUGCAAGCGUUAAUCGUAAUUACUGGGCGUAAAGCGCACGCAGGCGGUUUGUUAAGUCAGAUGUGAAAUCCCCGGGCUCAACCUGGGAACUGCAUCUGAUACUGGCAAGCUUGAGUCUCGUAGAGGGGGGUAGAAUUCCAGGUGUAGCGGUGAAAUGCGUAGAGAUCUGGAGGAAUACCGGUGGCGAAGGCGGCCCCCUGGACGAAGACUGACGCUCAGGUGCGAAAGCGUGGGGAGCAAACAGGAUUAGAUACCCCGGUAGUC